CCUGCCGUUGGAUCAGUUUCGUUAAUAAUUACAAACAUAUUUUUUUAAUGUCUAUAACUAUUUAUACAAAAUUAAACACAUAAUCUAAAAAAUUUAGACCUUAGGCAAUGGAUGUCUUGGCUUCUUACACGAUGAAGAACGUUGCAUAAUGCGAUAAGCGGCUGGAUUAGCUUUCUUUGCGACAAGUUCGAUCUUUGAAUGCACAUUGCGCGCCGUUUUAGCUUGCUAGAACACGCAUAUAUGUUACAGUAACCCAUAUUAAUUUAAUACCAAAUUCUCUUUUUAAGCAAAAGAGCGAAAAACAAAUAUGUAUUAACAAAAGGGUUCUGUCUCAUAUAGGAAGACCCG
Molecule: ribosomal RNA, 348 nt
Filed under: Tritrichomonas foetus
Lineage: Eukaryota; Parabasalia; Tritrichomonadida; Tritrichomonadidae
Description: partial small subunit ribosomal RNA
Rfam family: 5.8S ribosomal RNA (bases 97-254)
Source: RNAcentral